GAUUUCUGGUUUGACGUCGCUGACCCGCUUCUUCGGAGGUGAGUGUCGGUUGCCGUCUGCCAUCCUUCCAGAAAACCUUUCUACCCUUCACUGGGCCGGAUUGGCAAUCUGGAACAUUUACUUUGAAAAAAUUAGAGUGUUCAAAGCAGGCUUGCGCUGUGAAUACAUUAGCAUGGAAUAAUAAUUUAGGGCUUCGGUUCUAUUUUGUUGGUUUCUAGGAUUGAAGCAAUGAUUGAUAGGGAUAGUUGGGGGUGCUAGUAUUAAGAGGCCAGAGGUGAAAUUCUUGGAUUCUCUUAAGACUAACUUAUGCGAAAGCAUU
Molecule: ribosomal RNA, 319 nt
Filed under: uncultured Marimonadida
Lineage: Eukaryota; Cercozoa; Imbricatea
Description: SSU rRNA
Rfam family: Eukaryotic small subunit ribosomal RNA (bases 66-319)
Source: RNAcentral